GAUGAACGCUGGCGGCGUGCCUAAUACAUGCAAGUAGAACGCUGAAGGAGGAGCUUGCUUCUCCGGAUGAGUUGCGAACGGGUGAGUAACGCGUAGGUAACCUGCCUGGUAGCGGGGGAUAACUAUUGGAAACGAUAGCUAAUACCGCAUAACAGUAGAUAUCGCAUGAUAUCUGCUUGAAAGGUGCACUUGCAUCACUACCAGAUGGACCUGCGUUGUAUUAGCUAGUUGGUGAGGUAACGGCUCACCAAGGCGACGAUACAUAGCCGACCUGAGAGGGGGGUCGGCCACACUGGGACUGAGACACGGCCCAGACUCCUACGGGGGGCAGCCGGAGGGAAUCUUCGGCAAUGGACGGAAGUCUGACCGAGGAACGCCGCGGGAGUGAAGAAGGUUUUCGGAUCGGAAAGCUCUGUUGUAAGAGAAGAACGAGUGGGAGAGUGGAAAGUUCACACUGUGACGGUAUCUGAACAGAAAGGGACGGCUAACUACGUG
Molecule: ribosomal RNA, 495 nt
Filed under: uncultured bacterium
Lineage: Bacteria
Description: partial 16S ribosomal RNA
Rfam family: Bacterial small subunit ribosomal RNA
Source: RNAcentral